Molecule: long non-coding RNA, 314 nt
Filed under: Bos taurus (domestic cattle)
Lineage: Eukaryota; Metazoa; Chordata; Mammalia; Artiodactyla; Bovidae
Description: long non-coding RNA NONBTAT018077
Source: RNAcentral
GAGGAGUUUGGGAUGGUCUUCUGCUAGCCUCCCUCUGAUUGAGGCACUAGGAUUGGAAUCAGGCAAAAUAAACAGAAGAUCUCAGUUGAUGAAAGAUUUGAAAAACUGUCUGAUGUGGGAAGGAGGAAAUGAGCACCAUGCUACCUGGAAUACAUGCAGCCAUUCAGAAGAGACCCAGGACAGCCAAGCCAACUGUGAACCAGGCCCAAUCAUCUGGACAAAGAGCAGCCCCUUUUGCAAGACCAGGUUCCAAUGGCCCAUCAGAAAGAAGAGGCCCAGAGGAAGCCUGAAUUAGAAACACUUGCUGUUUCUCA